This 298-nucleotide ribosomal RNA is filed under the name uncultured bacterium. Its description in RNAcentral is "partial 16S ribosomal RNA". It matches the Rfam family "Bacterial small subunit ribosomal RNA", at positions 335 to 631 of the family's 1533-position model. The record is from RNAcentral.
CUUCCUACGGGGGGCAGCAGUGAGGAAUAUUGGUCAAUGGACGGAAGUCUGAACCAGCCAUGCCGCGUGCAGGAAGACGGCUCUAUGAGUUGUAAACUGCUUUUGUACAAGGGUAAACCUGAAUACGUGUAUUCAGCUGAAAGUACUGUACGAAUAAGGAUCGGCUAACUCCGUGCCAGCAGCCGCGGUAAUACGGAGGAUGCGAGCGUUAUCCGGAUUUAUUGGGUUUAAAGGGUGCGUAGGCGGUCCGUAAAGUCAGCGGUAAAAGACCGGGGCUCAACCCCGCCGAGCCGUUGUA